CUACGGGCGGCUCCAGUGAGGAAUAUUGCACAAUGGGGGGAACCCUGAUGCAGCAGCGCCGCGUGGAGGAUGACGCAUUUCGGUGUGUAAACUCCUUUUAUAUGUCAAGAAAAUGACGGUAGCAUAUGAAUAAGCACCGGCUAACUCCGUGCCAGCAGCCGCGGUAAUACGGAGGGUGCAAGCGUUACUCGGAAUCACUGGGCGUAAAGGACGCGUAGGCGGGUUGGAAAGUCAGGUGUGAAAUCCUACAGCUUAACUGUAGAACUGCACUUGAAACUUCUAAUCUAGAGUAUGGGAAGGGGGAGAUGGGAUUAGUGGUGUAGGGGUAAAAUCCGUAGAUAUCACUAGGAAUACCUAAAGCGAAGGCGAUCUCCUGGAACAUUACUGACGCUAAGGCGUGAAAGCGUGGGGAGCAAACAGGAUUAGAUACCCCUGUAGUC
This 440-nucleotide ribosomal RNA is filed under the name uncultured bacterium. Its description in RNAcentral is "partial 16S ribosomal RNA". It matches the Rfam family "Bacterial small subunit ribosomal RNA", at positions 339 to 795 of the family's 1533-position model. The record is from RNAcentral.